RNAcentral lists this ribosomal RNA (492 nucleotides) under uncultured bacterium. Its description in RNAcentral is "partial 16S ribosomal RNA". It matches the Rfam family "Bacterial small subunit ribosomal RNA", at positions 29 to 507 of the family's 1533-position model. The record is from RNAcentral.
AGUGAACGCUGGCGGUAGGCCUAACACAUGCCAGUCGAACGGCAGCACAGUAAGAGCUUGCUCUUACGGGUGGCGAGUGGCGGACGGGUGAGGAAUACAUCGGAAUCUACUUUUUCGUGGGGGAUAACGUAGGGAAACUUACGCUAAUACCGCAUACGACCUACGGGUGAAAGCAGGGGAUCUUCGGACCUUGCGCGAUUGAAUGAGCGGAUGUCGGGUUAGCUAGUUGGCGGGGUAAAGGCCCACCAAGGCGACGAUCCGUAGCUGGUCGGAGAGGAUGGUCAGCCACACUGGAACUGAGACACGGUCCAGACUCCUACGGGAGGCAGCAGUGGGGAAUAUUGGACAAUGGGCGCAAGCCUGAUCCAGCCAUACCGCGUGGGUGAAGAAGGCCUUCGGGUUGUAAAGCCCUUUUGUUGGGAAAGAAAAGCAGCAGGUUAAUACCCCGCUGUUCUGACGGUACCCAAAGAAUAAGCACCGGCUAACUUCGUG